Mus musculus (house mouse) is the source of this 984-nucleotide long non-coding RNA. RefSeq annotates it as predicted gene, 36312. Lineage: Eukaryota; Metazoa; Chordata; Mammalia; Rodentia; Muridae. The record is from RefSeq and is a predicted model, not a curated record. The transcript is spliced from 4 exons.
CUCUGCUUCACACAGACACAAGCUUCCUGUACCAUGAUGCUCUGCUUCACACAGACACAAGCUUCCUGUACCAUGAUGCUCUGCUUCACACAGACACAAGCUUCCUGUACCAUGAUGCUCUGCUUCACACAGACACAAGCUUCCUGUACCAUGAUGCUCUGCUUCACACAGACACAAGCUUCCUAUACCAUGAUGCUCUGCUUCACACAGACACAAGCUUCCUGUACCAUGAUGCUCUGCCUCACCCUAGCAUAAGCUUCCUGUACCAUGAUGCUCUGCCUCAAAGGGACCCAGAUUCAUCAGAGCCAAGGACUAUGAAUCAAAACUCUGAAGCUGUGAGCUUAAACUAACCCUCCUGAUGCAGAGAGCUGUGAGUCACUCAAUCCUACACCCCCUCGAAGCAGAGAAGGUCAGCCCUGCAGAGAGCAGACUGAAGCUUCCUCCCUGUAGUUCAAUUUCUCUACAGGUUGGGACAGGCACAGUGGUGCCCCACUUUAAUCAGUACUCAGGAAGCAGAGGCUGGCACAUCUCUGUGACUUGAGGGUCAAUCCAAUCCCUGAUCUACACAGAAGGUUCCAUGCCAGUUGGUUGCAUAGUGAGACUCUGUCCUGAAAGCAACAAUUGAUCUCCUGAUCUCUUUUCGAGUUUAUAAGACUCAAAUUGAAAGAUCCACAACGUGAGGACUCCCCCACGUUCUGACUCAGGAGAGGCGACACCCCAAAUCACUCACGAGAAAUGGUCUUGAUGCAAACUGCAAGAGGUUUAUUCGAGAAAGACCAGUGCACUGGAGACGACCCUCGCAGGGGUAGAGGAGUCGACCAUGAGCUCAAGGGAGUUAUUUUAAAGGAAGGACAGCUACAGUAAUGCCACCCAUAUCUCAGAAAUGAAAAAUGAAGACCAACCAUCUCACAGAGAGGCUAAAAUAGAAGACGACAGAAAAUGGAUCCUAACAAUGACACAAAUGGAUAACAUGAUCAUACUGAA